Molecule: ribosomal RNA, 448 nt
Filed under: uncultured beta proteobacterium
Lineage: Bacteria; Pseudomonadati; Pseudomonadota; Betaproteobacteria
Description: bacterial SSU rRNA
Rfam family: Bacterial small subunit ribosomal RNA
Source: RNAcentral
AGGGGAUCGCAAGACCUUGCGCGAUUAGAGUGGCCGAUGCCUGAUUAGCUUGUUGGUGAGGUAAUGGCUCACCAAGGCGACGAUCAGUAGCGGGUCUGAGAGGAUGAUCCGCCACACUGGAACUGAGACACGGUCCAGACUCCUACGGGAGGCAGCAGUGGGGAAUUUUGGACAAUGGGGGCAACCCUGAUCCAGCCAUUCCGCGUGAGUGAAGAAGGCCUUCGGGUUGUAAAGCUCUUUCAGCGGGAACGAAACGGUAGUCUCUAAUAUAGGCUGCUAAUGACGGUACCCGCAGAAGAAGCACCGGCUAACUACGUGCCAGCAGCCGCGGUAAUACGUAGGGUGCGAGCGUUAAUCGGAAUUACUGGGCGUAAAGCGUGCGCAGGCGGCUUUUUAAGCCAGACGUGAAAUCCCCGGGCUUAACCUGGGAAUGGCGUUUGAAACUACA